This 253-nucleotide ribosomal RNA is filed under the name uncultured bacterium. RNAcentral describes it as "partial 16S ribosomal RNA". It matches the Rfam family "Bacterial small subunit ribosomal RNA", at positions 524 to 776 of the family's 1533-position model. The record is from RNAcentral.
UACGUAGGGGGCAAGCGUUGUCCGGAUUUAUUGGGCGUAAAGAGCGUGUAGGCGGUUUGGUAGGUCCGCUGUGAAAACUCGAGGCUCAACCUCGAGACGCCGGUGGAAACCAUCAGACUAGAGUCCGGAAGAGGAGAGUGGAAUUCCUGGUGUAGCGGUGAAAUGCGCAGAUAUCAGGAAGAACACCCGUGGCUAAGGCGGCUCUCUAGUACGGUACUGACGCUGAGAUGCGAAAGCGCGGGGAGCGAACGGG